AUUGAACGCUGGCGGCAUGCCUUACACAUGCAAGUCGAACGGCAGCACGGGUGCUUGCACCUGGUGGCGAGUGGCGAACGGGUGAGUAAUACAUCGGAACGUACCUUAUCGUGGGGGAUAACGCAGCGAAAGCUGUGCUAAUACCGCAUACGCCCUGAGGGGGAAAGCGGGGGAUCGAAAGACCUCGCGCGAUUAGAGCGGCCGAUGCCUGAUUAGGUUGUUGGUGGGGUGAAAGCCCACCAAGGCGACGAUCAGUAGCUGGUCUGAGAGGACGAUCAGCCACACUGGGAGUGAGCCACGGCCCAGACUCCUACGGGAGGCAGCAGUGGGGAAUUUUGGACAAUGGGGGCAACCCUGAUCCAGCAAUGCCGCGUGAGUGAAGAAGGCCUUCGGGUUGUAAAGCUCUUUUGUCAGGGAAGAAACACCGGCUCUAACACAGUCCGGGAAUGACGGUACCUGAAGAAUAAGCACCGGCUAACUACGUGCCAGCCGCCGCGGUAA
This 501-nucleotide ribosomal RNA is filed under the name uncultured bacterium. RNAcentral describes it as "partial 16S ribosomal RNA". It matches the Rfam family "Bacterial small subunit ribosomal RNA", at positions 29 to 523 of the family's 1533-position model. The record is from RNAcentral.